AGUGAACGCUGGCGGUAGGCCUAACACAUGCAAGUCGAACGGCAGCACAGUAAGAGCUUGCUCUUACGGGUGGCGAGUGGCGGACGGGUGAGGAAUACAUCGGAAUCUACUUUUUCGUGGGGGAUAACGUAGGGAAACUUACGCUAAUACCGCAUACGACCUACGGGUGAAAGCAGGGGAUUUUCGGACCUUGCGCGAUUGAAUGAGCCGAUGUCGGAUUAGCUAGUUGGCGGGGUAAAGGCCCACCAAGGCGACGAUCCGUAGCUGGUCUGAGAGGAUGAUCAGCCACACUGGAACUGAGACACGGUCCAGACGCCUACGGGAGGCAGCAGUGGGGAAUAUUGGACAAUGGGCGCAAGCCUGAUCCAGCCAUACCGCGUGGGUGAAGAAGGCCUUCGGGUUGUAAAGCCCUUUUGUUGGGAAAGAAAAGCAGCAGGUUAAUACCCCGCUGUUCUGACGGUACCCAAAGAAUAAGCACCGGCUAACUUCGUG
This 492-nucleotide ribosomal RNA is filed under the name uncultured bacterium. Its description in RNAcentral is "partial 16S ribosomal RNA". It matches the Rfam family "Bacterial small subunit ribosomal RNA", at positions 29 to 507 of the family's 1533-position model. The record is from RNAcentral.